Molecule: ribosomal RNA, 497 nt
Filed under: uncultured bacterium
Lineage: Bacteria
Description: partial 16S ribosomal RNA
Rfam family: Bacterial small subunit ribosomal RNA
Source: RNAcentral
GAUGAACGCUGGCGGCGUGCCUAAUACAUGCAAGUCGAGCGAACAGACGAGGAGCUUGCUCCUCUGACGUUAGCGGCGGACGGGUGAGUAACACGUGGAUAACCUACCUAUAAGACUGGGAUAACUUCGGGAAACCGGAGCUAAUACCGGAUAAUAUAUUGAACCGCAUGGUUCAUUAGUGAAAGACGGUUUUGCUGUCACCUAUAGAUGGAUCCGCGCCGCAUUAGCUAGUUGGUAAGGUAACGGCUUACCAAGGCGACGAUGCGUAGCCGGCCUGAGAGGGUGAUCGGCCACACUGAAACUGAAACACGGUCCAGACUCCUACGGGAGGCAGCAGUAGGGAAUCUUCCGCAAUGGGCGAAAACCUGACGGAGCAACGCCGCGUGAGUGAUGAAGGUCUUCGGAUCGUAAAACUCUGUUAUUAGGGAAGAACAAAUGUGUAAGUAACUAUGCACGUCUUGACGGUACCUAAUCAGAAAGCCCCGGCUAACUACGUG